CGUGUAGGCGGCUUGCCGAGUCAGGCGUGAAAGCCCCGGGCUUAACCUGGGAACUGCGUUUGAUACGGGCAGGCUAGAGGUUGGAAGAGGAGAGUGGAAUUCCCAGUGUAGAGGUGAAAUUCGUAGAUAUUGGGAAGAACACCAGUGGCGAAGGCGGCUCUCUGGUCCACACCUGACGCUGAGGCGCGAAAGCGUGGGGAGCAAACAGGAUUAGAUACCCUGGUAGUCC
Molecule: ribosomal RNA, 229 nt
Filed under: uncultured bacterium
Lineage: Bacteria
Description: partial 16S ribosomal RNA
Rfam family: Bacterial small subunit ribosomal RNA
Source: RNAcentral